CCAGACUCCUACGGGAGGCAGCAGUGGGGAAUAUUGGGCAAUGGGCGCAAGCCUGACCCAGCAACGCCGCGUGAAGGAAGAAGGCUUUCGGGUUGUAAACUUCUUUUAAGAGGGACGAAACAAAUGACGGUACCUCUUGAAUAAGCCACGGCUAACUACGUGCCAGCAGCCGCGGUAAUACGUAGGUGGCAAGCGUUAUCCGGAUUUAUUGGGUGUAAAGGGCGUGUAGGCGGGAAAGCAAGUCAGAUGUGAAAACUAUGGGCUCAACCCAUAGCCUGCAUUUGAAACUGUUUUUCUUGAGUACUGGAGAGGCAGACGGAAUUCCUAGUGUAGCGGUGAAAUGCGUAGAUAUCACGCAGAACCCCGAUUGCGAAGGCAGCAUGCCGGCUUCCGACUGACGCUGAAGCACGAAAGCGUGGGGAUCGAACAGGAUUAGAUACCCCCGUAUA
This 449-nucleotide ribosomal RNA is filed under the name uncultured bacterium. RNAcentral describes it as "partial 16S ribosomal RNA". It matches the Rfam family "Bacterial small subunit ribosomal RNA", at positions 331 to 794 of the family's 1533-position model. The record is from RNAcentral.